AAGCAUGGUGCUACUCUUGUUGGAGGUACUAAGACUGAGUACAUUGAUGAUGCUACCAUGAAUAAGUUAGUUUGGUAUGUGCUACAUAAUGCUGAUGAAGUACAGGAAUAUUUGACUCUGUACAGGGAGGAGCUAUCGCAGCAAGGUGCACGUCCAAAUGAUGUUGAUCGAAUGGUUCAACAAGGAUUUGCAAAGUGGUUUAUGUCCCAUGUUGAGAAGAAGCGUAAUGAGAAUCCAGAAUUGGUUAGCGAAGGA
Zea mays is the source of this 255-nucleotide long non-coding RNA. RefSeq lists it as uncharacterized. NCBI's taxonomy places the organism in Eukaryota, Viridiplantae, Streptophyta, Magnoliopsida, Poales, Poaceae. The record is from RefSeq and is a predicted model, not a curated record. The transcript is spliced from 3 exons.